This is a long non-coding RNA of Onychostoma macrolepis, 588 nucleotides long. RefSeq lists it as uncharacterized. The transcript has 3 exons. Lineage: Eukaryota; Metazoa; Chordata; Actinopteri; Cypriniformes; Cyprinidae. The record is from RefSeq and is a predicted model, not a curated record.
AUCCUUAUAGAAGACAACCUUUUCCAGCUUCGCUCCACCCCAGACUACACACCUGAGAGCCACAGGCUCCCCCUGCAGCGCAGGAACGGCCGGAGGAACCAACAUCACCAUGAGCUCUGAGAAACAGACCAAACACAGACUGAUGGGAACUAGCUGACAGAAAGGUGGUUAGAAAAAGUUUUCCAGGAAAGAGCAGCCUGCAUAGUUAAUAGAGAAGUGGACUGCAAAUUCAGCGGAAGAGACAUGCGAUGACUGUGUUCAAAUAGUAAAACAAUCCCUUGUUUGUAAAUGGUUUCGCAGAAUUGUAUCUUAUGAUAAUGUAAGCACAGCAAAAGAGAUUUUGAAAAAUGGUUCAUGGGUUGCUUGUUUUGAACACCAUUGACUUUCAUUGCAUGAACACAAACAGUCAAAACAUUCUUCAAAGUAUCUCUUUCUGUCUUCCACAGAAGAAACGUCACUGCAUUGCUUCGAAGAUCGCUUUUCUUUUUCUUGCACCAGAAAGUGGCUCUUUCUGCCUCCUUUAAUUCUGCAAAUAUAACAGCUCUGUUCAUCUUCUCAUCAACAUCGACUCCUAGACUGAAGGUGCUC